GUCAGCUGAUGUCUCAAAAGUGGGGGUGGUCGAGAUGGGGGGGAGGACCGGAUGGGCUAAUAAAUGACG
This is a non-coding RNA of Caenorhabditis elegans, 69 nucleotides long. Lineage: Eukaryota; Metazoa; Nematoda; Chromadorea; Rhabditida; Rhabditidae. The record is from Ensembl.